UCAGGUCUCCAAGGUGAACAGCCUCUGGCCAAUGGAACAAUGUAGGCAAGGGAAGUCGGCAAAACGGAUCCGUAACUUCGGGAAAAGGAUUGGCUCUGAGGACUGGGCUCGGGGGUCCCGGCCCCGAACCCGUCGGCUGUCGGCGGAUUGCUCGAGCUGCUCACGCGGCGAGAGCGGGUCGCCGCAUGCCGGCCGGGGGACGGACCGGGAAUCGCCCCUUCGGGGGCUUUCCCCGAGCAU
RNAcentral lists this ribosomal RNA (240 nucleotides) under Triticum aestivum (bread wheat). RNAcentral describes it as "partial small subunit ribosomal RNA". It matches the Rfam family "Eukaryotic large subunit ribosomal RNA", at positions 1859 to 2095 of the family's 3401-position model. Lineage: Eukaryota; Viridiplantae; Streptophyta; Magnoliopsida; Poales; Poaceae. The record is from RNAcentral.